ACGUAGGGGGCGAGCGUUGUCCGGAAUCACUGGGCGUAAAGCGCACGUAGGCGGGCUGUCAAGUCGGCCGUGAAAGGCAUGGGCUCAACCUGUGCAUGUCGGUCGAUACUGGCGGUCUGGAGUAUGGGAGAGGGGACUGGAAUUCCCGGUGUAGGGGUGAAAUGCGGAGAUACCGGGAGGAACACCAGUGGCGAAGGCGGGUUCCUGGCACAGGACUGACGGUGAGGUGCGAAAGCCGGGGGAGCGAACGG
This 251-nucleotide ribosomal RNA is filed under the name uncultured prokaryote. RNAcentral describes it as "partial 16S rRNA". It matches the Rfam family "Bacterial small subunit ribosomal RNA", at positions 525 to 775 of the family's 1533-position model. The record is from RNAcentral.